CGUGACUGGUCUAAGCUAAAGCUAAUAGCUGCGCUGCCGGAUUAGGACAUUGCCUGGACCGAUUUAAAAACACUCUUUCUCACUUAUCCAACUCUGAGGAAUAUGCCAAACCAUCAUGGAAACCUCCUCUGCUUUAGCUGAGAGGCUGCACAAGGCUGCCGUGACGUGGGCGGACAGACAGAUGCUUUGACCACCUGCAGUGUAGUGUUGGCGGAUGACUUCACGGCAGACUUUAAUGUGAAAUCCAUUGACGGCAGAUACAGGCUCAGCUGGCAGACUGUUGGAAAAAAAAAAACAACCUAUAAGUAAGAGAAGAGAGUGGGAGAGAGAGCAUAGCGCUGGAAUUUCUUGUUCUGAUAUUUUAGUGAAGAAAGGAAAGUGAGGUCCCAGGUGCAUCAUAACAGGAAGGUGUUCGGUCUGUGGUUGGGGACCACGUAGAGCUUAUGUCUGGAGGAAGACCUCCACCGGAUCCUGGUGCUGACCUCCGUGGAAGCUGAAGAAUGAAGAGUUGGUUGGCAGUGAAACGGAUGUGCAACACUUCAACGCCGUCUCCCCGACAUCGUUCCUGGCCGCACUUUUGGCUGUUUUGCAGCCUUCGUCGCUCAUAGUGUGAACACAAUUUCUCAGAUGAUAUAUAAAACCCCCGCAGCCCGCUCAGAAACUACUGAGGAUGGAAAUAAAAGAAAGAUGAAACUUUUUGUCAGGUUUGAGAAUGUGUGAAGAUCAGUGAUGAGUAGUUUUAGUCAUUUGAUCAAACAUCGUGCUGAUGUGGAAAUCCGGAGACAUGUACCGCUUGGAGAUGAAAAGAAAAAAGAAAAAACAUUUACGUUUUCAUUUAUUUUGACACAUUUAUUCAUAUUUAAACUGCUGUGUCUGU
Molecule: long non-coding RNA, 877 nt
Organism: Mugil cephalus (flathead mullet)
Lineage: Eukaryota; Metazoa; Chordata; Actinopteri; Mugiliformes; Mugilidae
Exons: 4
Source: RefSeq, a predicted model, not a curated record